GCCGCCAGGCGCACGGCGCCCAGAGCGGCGGGGCGGGGCGGGGCGGGGCUGGGCCGCAGGGAAGAGUCGCGCAGGGGGCGCUCCGCGGGCCGGGCCCCUGGUCACGUGGUUCACCCCUCCCCACCCCGGCGUCCCACCCAUCCCGAAACAGUUCGUGAUUGUCUACCUGAAGGUGCCCCUGGACCCGCCUCCACCUCUAGGCCUUGAGGGAAUCCCUCUCUAACACUUGAAUAAGCCAAUAAACAAGAAGCAAAAAGAAGACCUUGAAAAUCAAAGGAGCCACAGCUAAAACAAAAAUUUUAAAUGCCAGGCCUAUGUGGUUUUCCAGCAAGAGGUGAGCAGUCCAAGCCUGGCAGGCAGUUAUGCCCUACCGUCUGGCUUCUGUUUCUGGGUCCCAGGGAACUGCUUCAGUGGCCACAAUGUCCAGCCAAUGAGAAGGAACAAGAGAAAGUACAGGGCAAGCAAUUUCCUUUUCAAAGGACAGCACCUGGAGGUUGUGACCUUGGGUGCUUAACCUCACCCAAGGACAGUAGAGAGUUUGAGAACAAGUCCUGAGAGGCUUUAACAGCUAAAGGUCAGUUAGAGGAGAAGAAGUUAAAGAGAAAAGACGAGUGGCUAAAGAGCGAGGAGGAAGUGGAAAACGCCAAAGUUGCAGACAAGUUAAAAACAAAAUAGGGGUUUGAGAAGAAACAAUAAAAUAGCUACGUAUGCCCAAAUAUGAGGGCCCUUCCCCCACAAUUAUCCCUCAGAAGCCCCCUUAUAUCUGGUAUGUCUCCCACAGUACAGCACACUCUUACAAACAAAGAACCAUGAGGACAAGCCAUGUUAACCUGAAAUACUGACGCCAGCCCAGUUUGGGAUUCCCAUGGAAGUUGUUCAAAGGAAUCAGAAAAAAGAUGUAGGUAGUGAAAAUGAAUACUGAUUUAGUAUUAAUUCCUGAGUUUGUCCCUUCAGUUUCAAGAAACUGUAUAGUAUCGUAGAAAAUGGGUUUUCCUGGCUGUGUCCCAAACAAGAUGGCAGGCAGUAGGGAUACGAGCAUGGGCAGGAAGGGGACUUGAAGGAGGAGCCGUGGGGACAAGUGGUCAGCUUUCUGUUUCUGCAUCUGAGGCCCAGGUAGCUUGAAUACAGGAAGUAAGAGAGAGCAUAUGGUAAAUGCCACAAGCACUCACGAGCUAGGCUCUAAAACAACACUUUUUUUCAGUUCAGGAGGGUGGCCCUAUUUUGUGCCGGGGCACUAGGGUAUUGUGACAGCUGGAAGUCAUGUGACAGUCUCCCAAAAGGCAUUCUUGGAAAGGAGACAAAGGUUUCAUUCAGAUGAAAACGACAACAAAAAUACAUCCUUAUGCAGAAAAGUUAAGUCACGUUACUUGUCACAUCUCCCCCAAAUCACCCACUGAACCAUGUAACUCCAGCAAAAAGGGUGCAGGACUAGAAAGGUUGGGAAAGGCAGUAUCAUGCAGUCUUUUGACCCUCCCCCUGCUGCCUAAGUAUGGGCCUUGAACCUGGAAGGCUUCCCUACUGAGGAAAGAGUCCUCACAGCCCGUGCUGGCCUCAUCACCUUUGUGUGGGAAUGUCUUUCCCUGUUUCAGACUCAACGUGUACUCCUUUGCUCUGCACAAGCGUGUGUAUAAGAUGACACCUGGCCAACCCCAUAUUAUAUGUGUCCACUGCAGCGAGAUGGGGUCCUUCUGUAGCACAAGAGGCGUGCGUGCAGGUCAC
This is a long non-coding RNA of Acinonyx jubatus (cheetah), 1719 nucleotides long. RefSeq lists it as uncharacterized. NCBI's taxonomy places the organism in Eukaryota, Metazoa, Chordata, Mammalia, Carnivora, Felidae. The transcript is spliced from 3 exons. The record is from RefSeq and is a predicted model, not a curated record.